Molecule: long non-coding RNA, 1709 nt
Filed under: Brassica rapa (field mustard)
Lineage: Eukaryota; Viridiplantae; Streptophyta; Magnoliopsida; Brassicales; Brassicaceae
Description: long non-coding RNA (BRAP_LNC003136)
Source: RNAcentral
AGGCUUUUAUUUACUCAUUGCAUCAGUGUUGGAUGCUUGAAUAGUUUGAUAAUGGUUGGAGUAGAGGUCUCAUGAAAUCAUUAGCCUUUGUUAGAAUCAGAACACAAGAUUUCAGUAUCUUCGGUUGUAGUACUCACUGGGAUUUUACUGCUCACUGCAUCAGUGUUGGAUGCUUGACAAUAUGAUAAUGGUUGGAGUAGAGUUAGCCUUUGUUAGAUUCAGAACACUAGAUUUCAGUAUCUUCAGUUGUGGUAUUUACUAGGAUUUAACUGCUCAUUGCAUUAGUGCUGGAUGUUUUGAACAACUCAGUAAUGGGUAAUAGUAUCGUAUUAGGAUGUGUGGAUAUUGAAUUGUGAACUAGGUGAAGGAAUGGCUCUCUGUUUAGUAGACGUGGCAUACUUGAAGAAGGCUCAUUAGCAUAAACUAGUGUUCAUGGCAUCAAUACACAGGGUUUCGGUUUUGGUAUUUUCUAGGCUUUUAACUGCUCAUUGCAUUCUGUGUUGGAUGUUUGAAUAGUUUGAUAAUGGUUGGAGUACAGUUCCUCGUGGCUUCAGCCUUUGUUAAACUCAGAACACUAGUUUUUCUGUAUCUUGUUUUUUUUUUCUGGUCAUUGCAUCAGUGUUGGGAUGCUUGAAUGAUUUGAUAAUGGUUGGAGUAGAGUUCUCAUGACAUCAUCAGCCUUUGUAAGAUUCAGAACGCUAGGUUUCACUACUUUAGUUGUGGUAUUUACUAGGCUUUUCCUGCUCGUUGCUUCAGUGCUUGAUGAUUGCACAGUUGUUGGAGUAGAGUUCUCAUGACAUCAGCCUUUGUUAAAUUCAGAACACUAGUUUUCCCUUUUCAGUAUCUUCAGUUGUGGUAUUUGCUAAGAUUUUACUGCUCAUUGCAUCAGUGCUGGAUGUUUGAACAAUUCAGUGAUGGCUAAUAGUGUCUUAUUAGGAUGUGUGGAUAAUGAACUGUGAGCAUUUUAGCAGAUACUGAAUUGAGAAUAGCAUGAGAACAUUACUUUUUGAGCUUUCGAAAUAGUUGUUUGCAUGCUUGUGGGAACUGAUAAAUUGGGUAUCAAUCAAAGAGCUUGAUCACUUACUUGAAUAAGUGGCAAGUUGGAGUUGAGGUGAACUUCACUCGAUGUUGGGCUGAUAAGGUUUAGAAAUCAUGGUAGCUUACAAGUAAUGCCAUUUCAAGUAGUAUUACUCAUAGGUUCUCUGUCUCUGGUCCAUGAGCUUUCUAUUGAAUAAUGCCAUUUCAAGUAGUAUCACUCGUGUUUCCCAAAUCUUGUGAUUAGUUUCCUUUAAGUGUGGUCUGACAGCAUCCUCUUUAAAUAUAGAGUAGUUCAAUGCCGUGUCUGUUUUUAGCGAGUUUCGUCUCAUCCUCUGGUUUCAUAAAUUAUGAAUUAAACAAAAUGAAAGAGAUUAGGAUUAAACAAACUCAGUUACCUUAUUGCAAGCAUUGUUGUCUUGUUAUUUGCCGUUUGUUUGCCGUGUCUUCAAGUUGCAUCACAUCGGGAGGGCUCCCGAGAGUAUGAACACUGACACUCGAUUUAGGCUUUGGUAUAAUCAAUGAAACAAGACAAGAUCACAUGUUUGUUUUACUGGAGACCCAGAGAAGAGGUCCAGUGUAAAGCCAUGUGAAGAACCUUUGUCCUCUUAUCCAUUUUCUUCUGUACGUCUGACACGGUUUCUUUUGUUAAUUCCAAUUCAAGAACACUAUUU